UGAAUGAUGGCAGAGUUGGUAGAGCAGUUGACUUUUAAUCAAUUGGUCGCAGGUUCGAAUCCUGCACGACCCACCA
This 76-nucleotide transfer RNA is filed under the name Klebsiella pneumoniae. Its description in RNAcentral is "tRNA-Lys". The stretch from base 8 to 65 matches the Rfam family "tRNA", at positions 8 to 63 of the family's 71-position model. Rfam says of the family: Transfer RNA (tRNA) molecules are approximately 80 nucleotides in length. Their secondary structure includes four short double-helical elements and three loops (D, anti-codon, and T loops). Further hydrogen bonds mediate the characteristic L-shaped molecular structure. tRNAs have two regions of fundamental functional importance: the anti-codon, which is responsible for specific mRNA codon recognition, and the 3' end, to which the tRNAs corresponding amino acid is attached (by aminoacyl-tRNA synthetases). tRNAs cope with the degeneracy of the genetic code in two manners: having more than one tRNA (with a specific anti-codon) for a particular amino acid; and 'wobble' base-pairing, i.e. permitting non-standard base-pairing at the 3rd anti-codon position. The record is from RNAcentral. Lineage: Bacteria; Pseudomonadati; Pseudomonadota; Gammaproteobacteria; Enterobacterales; Enterobacteriaceae.